GAUGAACGCUGGCGGCGUGCCUAAUACAUGCAAGUCGAGCGAACGGACGAGAAGCUUGCUUUUCUGAUGUUAGCGGCGGACGGGUGAGUAACACGUGGAUAACCUACCUAUAAGACUGGGAUAACUUCGGGAAACCGGAGCUAAUACCGGAUAAUAUUUUGAACCGCAUGGUUCAAAAGUGAAAGACGGUCUUGCUGUCACUUAUAGAUGGAUCCGCGCUGCAUUAGCUAGUUGGUAAGGUAACGGCUUACCAAGGCAACGAUGCAUAGCCGACCUGAGAGGGUGAUCGGCCACACUGGAACUGAGACACGGUCCAGACUCCUACGGGAGGCAGCAGUAGGGAAUCUUCCGCAAUGGGCGAAAGCCUGACGGAGCAACGCCGCGUGAGUGAUGAAGGUCUUCGGAUCGUAAAACUCUGUUAUUAGGGAAGAACAUAUGUGUAAGUAACUGUGCACAUCUUGACGGUACCUAAUCAGAAAGCCACGGCUAACUACGUGCCAGCAGCCGCGGUAAUACGUAGGUGGCAAGCGUUAUCCGGAAUUAUUGGGCGUAAAGCGCGCGUAGGCGGUUUUUUAAGUCUGAUGUGGAAGCCCACGGCUCAACCGUGGAGGGUCAUUGGAAACUAGAAAACUUGAGUGCAGAAGAGGAAAGUGGAAUUCCAUGUGUAGCGGUGAAAUGCGCAGAGAUGUGGAGGAACACCAGUGGCGAAGGCGACUUUCUGGUCUGUAACUGACGCUGAUGUGCGAAAGCGUGGGGAUCAAACAGGAUUAGAUACCCUGGUAGUCCACGCCGUAAACGAUGAGUGCUAAGUGUUAGGGGGUUUCCGCCCCUUAGUGCUGCAGCUAACGCAUUAAGCACCCCGCCUGGGGAGUACGACCGCAAGGUUGAAACUCAAAGGAAUUGACGGGGGCCCGCACAAGCGGUGGAGCAUGUGGUUUAAUUCGAAGCAACGCGAAGAACCUUACCAAAUCUUGACAUCCUUUGACAACUCUAGAGAUAGAGCCUUCCCCUUCGGGGGACAAAGUGACAGGUGGUGCAUGGUUGUCGUCAGCUCGUGUCGUGAGAUGUUGGGUUAAGUCCCGCAACGAGCGCAACCCUUAAGCUUAGUUGCCAUCAUUAAGUUGGGCACUCUAAGUUGACUGCCGGUGACAAACCGGAGGAAGGUGGGGAUGACGUCAAAUCAUCAUGCCCCUUAUGAUUUGGGCUACACACGUGCUACAAUGGACAAUACAAAGGGCAGCGAAACCGCGAGGUCAGGCAAAUCCCAUAAAGUUGUUCUCAGUUCGGAUUGUAGUCUGCAACUCGACUACAUGAAGCUGGAAUCGCUAGUAAUCGUAGAUCAGCAUGCUACGGUGAAUACGUUCCCGGGUCU
RNAcentral lists this ribosomal RNA (1372 nucleotides) under uncultured bacterium. Its description in RNAcentral is "bacterial SSU rRNA". It matches the Rfam family "Bacterial small subunit ribosomal RNA", at positions 28 to 1381 of the family's 1533-position model. The record is from RNAcentral.